Pelobates cultripes (western spadefoot toad) is the source of this 249-nucleotide non-coding RNA. Lineage: Eukaryota; Metazoa; Chordata; Amphibia; Anura; Pelobatidae. The record is from the annotation of a GenBank genome assembly.
CUCACUCAGCUUGGUUUCUUCUAGAUGGUAGGUCACGGUCAAGGGUGUCGAACAUUCACAGGUAUUUCCCUCUGAAUUGCAGUGUUACAGAUAUUUACCAAUUACAUACAAUGAAAAUAAAAACAGAACAUGGUGAUCUGUUUUGCUGGUGUAAAAGCAAAAUUAAAAGGAAAGCAGGAAAUUUAGACUUUUGCUCAAUCCUGUGUAGUGUAGGUGGUUUCCUCACCACCAAAGAGUUAAAAAGUGUGG